UUCAACCUAAAACCAGAUGAUUCUGAUCAUAAUGCUUUCUUAAGAUGUUCUGAUCAGAAUCAUCUGGUUUUAGGUUGAAACCAUAUUCAGAAUCAACAGGAGUUGCACAAAUUACGAUGUACACUGUCGAGGUUGAAAAUUACAGCACCUAAAUGCAUUCAUUUAAAACACAUUCACCUGGUAGGAUUGAAUUUUCUAAGUCUGCUUACAAAAGAAAAAGCCCGUAGGUCUCCCAUCAAAAAAAAGACAAGUUUAUUUGUGCCUCUUUUAUAGUUGCAUACUUGCAUUAACCGCUAAGCUUGAUGGAUGAGAUAAGAAAUAGGAACCACAACUAAAUCCUCUCUACCGAAUCAGAAAUAUGUCAUCUACAACUCCCGACCAUGGGAAUAUGGGAUGAACUUCUGCUCAUUUUCUUUUCGCUAAUUGGAAACUUUUAAAAGAUGGAGUGUCAGGUUUGAAUUUUUAACUCUUGCAUUUUAAGGCAGUGAGUGUAACUUUAACUACAGCUUCAUUCAGGGAGUUUAAGUUGCUCGCGAUUCUUCCAACUCUUUAUGUAGUAGUAGAAAAAGUCAGCAAAGAGAGCAGUCUGAACAAAGCCUGAAAUCCACGGUAUCCAGCGGAAAUUAAUUCCCUCUACAAAGAAUCGAUAAAUCCAAUUGACGAUAUACAAAGCUCGGUAAGCACCAAGAAGGAAAACAUAGUUGACAGUCAAGUUGUCAAUGUUCCUUGAUCGUUGUAGCAAUAACAAUUGGGGUAAGAUAGCUACUGCUUCAAGAUAAAUUGAAAAUGCCCACAAAACCUCAAUCACAUCAAAGGAACGAUGAAUCAAAAGGGCUAGCAC
RNAcentral lists this unclassified non-coding RNA (841 nucleotides) under Hevea brasiliensis (rubber tree). The record is from RNAcentral. Lineage: Eukaryota; Viridiplantae; Streptophyta; Magnoliopsida; Malpighiales; Euphorbiaceae.